Molecule: ribosomal RNA, 113 nt
Filed under: Microcebus murinus (gray mouse lemur)
Lineage: Eukaryota; Metazoa; Chordata; Mammalia; Primates; Cheirogaleidae
Source: RNAcentral
GUCUAUGGCCAUACCACCCUGAACACGCCUGAUCUCAGACGCUAAGCAGGGCUGGGCCUGGUUAGUACGUGGAUGGGAGAAAAGGCCAUCUUUUGCAGAAGCAGCCAUCAGCU